This is a non-coding RNA of Taeniopygia guttata (zebra finch), 1146 nucleotides long. The record is from RefSeq and is a predicted model, not a curated record. Lineage: Eukaryota; Metazoa; Chordata; Aves; Passeriformes; Estrildidae.
GCGCGGUGAUGACGUCACAGCGGGGGCGGGACGGGCGGACGGGUUUAACGCGAACAGGAGCGGGGGGGCGAGGCUGCUGCUGCCCCCGCCGCUGCAAAAAGGUUCUUGGGGGCCUGGUCCUGCAUAGCCCUGGUAGUGACAGUAGCAGCUUGGGCUUUAGCUCUGGGUUUUAAAAGCCUGACAACCCAGCAGGCAGCACGUGAAUCCCGGCCCACCCUGCCUCAGGUUCACACAGCGCACAGACUCUGAUUUGAGGUGGUGGCGGGUGUAGGGAUGGCACUACUGUGAGGGGAUUUGCCCUCUCAACUGCAAGAAAAUUGGGAAGAGGAGAAUGAAAGACUUAAGAUGGAGCACCAUACAGUGAUAUUUCAUGUCAUGUGGGACGGAUAUCCCUGCCAAAUGUGUUUGCUGUGAACUUAAAAGGGAAUUUGCCACUGCAAGACACUGAACCUCUGACAUCACCACAUUGGCUGCCUGACUUUUGACUUGAGAGGAACAAAGCCAGAAGUGUAUUUUGACCCCAUCCCUAAUACAGGCCUUUAACGUGACAGAUCUUUCUAAGAAGCAAGUGUGUCGAUCAGCUUAUGUGUAUGGCCACAGGCAUGUCUGUUAAAUUCCUAAUGAUGGAAGCUUCACCUCUUGAAUGCAGUGGAAGGAUAUGUCCUGUCUACCUCCAUCACAGGACAUGAGCAAGACCAGGGCAGUUAUAGCAAAGCCAUAAAGGCUAACUGAUCCCAAAGUCCUGCACACCCUUAUUCUCAUAACAACUCUCAUCCCCCAGACGUGGGCAGAGUACCAGACUGGACUGGGCUGUGGGAAGCAGGAGCAAAGGACACACACUUCACGGGGUUAUCAAGCGGGAAGGAGAGAGACAGCUGCUGCUGGGCAUCGGCAGCAGGCUCUGCACACCCUUCCCUACCAGUGUGCCAGGGGGAAAGGAGAGAGGACAGUCUGCUGGGACUUCAGAUACCGGACUGCACACCUCUUCACCUCCAGCUACCAGAGUGCCACGGAGACUCCAGGGACAAGGGACAGACUCUGCAUGCCUGCUCGCCCUUCGGCUAGCGGAAAAGCUACAAUAGCGGGGGCGAGCUCCUUGUCCAGCUCCCUGCCGAGCUGACUUUUCAAUAAAGAGCUUAACAUUAA